AUGUCUGUGCUGCCAGAAAAAUAUUACAUAGAAAGGUGGAGGCCAAAAAAUACAAAGGACAUACGGGACAUCCGUUUCAAUGUUCCUUUGGAACUAACUGCUGGAAGUCAACACUUAAGGUAUACCCUGCUAUCCAACAGGCUCAAUGAGAUGGCCUCAGACGGUGCAUCAACAAACAGAAAAUAUCUGUAUGUUGUAGCAGAAUGUGAAAGGGUGCAACAAAGGUUGGAUGAGAUGACUAAAGAGGAUGAACUUGCAGAAGCGCAGAACGCAAAUGUUGACAAGGACACAACAGAGACUGAUGAAGCACCGCAUCCUGAUGGCUAUGGACACAAACUUCAAGAUCCUGAUGUUGCAGUGUCAAAAGGGCGUCCACAAAAAGGACGUUACAAAACUUUCAUGGAAAGUUUAGCAUCUAAACAGAAAGUCACAUGCAGUCGGUGUGGGAAACCUGAUCAUUAUAAAAGUUCUUGUACUGCAAGUACUGAAGAUAUCAAUUUGGCUCAGAAACAAAAAGUCAGCCGCAAACAAACCUCAGGCUCAUCUGGCACAUCUACAGGCAAGGGACCAGCUGGUGCAAACCCGAGGAAGAAGGCAAGAAAAGAAAAAUAA
Molecule: ribosomal RNA, 612 nt
Filed under: Triticum aestivum (bread wheat)
Lineage: Eukaryota; Viridiplantae; Streptophyta; Magnoliopsida; Poales; Poaceae
Description: partial small subunit ribosomal RNA
Source: RNAcentral